This 285-nucleotide long non-coding RNA is filed under the name Physcomitrium patens. RNAcentral's name for it is "long non-coding RNA (PPAT_LNC010451)". The record is from RNAcentral. Lineage: Eukaryota; Viridiplantae; Streptophyta; Bryopsida; Funariales; Funariaceae.
UGUGGAGUAUAUCUGCCACACGACCAUAGUUGAUUCUACUACCUCUCUUGGAACCCAUUCUGCUAGUCAUUAAUCUUUCUCGAAGUUGAUCCUUAAAACCAAUUAGGCGAAAAUAGACUCAAAAUGUAUUCUUUUAUGCUUUCCAAUUGAAAAAUUGACCCAUUGGUUGAUAGUUGUACCAUUCAAACACAGUGUCCUUUAAGGUUGCUAGCAACCAUCGUAACCAAAUAUCUUCAGUUCUUCCAUUAUUGGCUAUACAUGCUGUUAGAAACUAAGACAAAUAUU